Long non-coding RNA from Poecile atricapillus (Black-capped chickadee), 2150 nucleotides. RefSeq lists it as uncharacterized. The record is from RefSeq and is a predicted model, not a curated record. The transcript has 2 exons. Lineage: Eukaryota; Metazoa; Chordata; Aves; Passeriformes; Paridae.
CACUGUGACUGUGAACCCGUGUGAUCCAGCGCCAGAUCCAGAUGCCUACUGAGCACCUCCAGGGAUGAUGACUCCAUUACCUCCCUAGGUUCAGAAAGGUCACCUGUCCAUCUGACCAGACUGUCUGCCUCUGAACACACGAGAUCCAGUGAACAGAGAAGUCACCACACAGCCUUGGUACUCCACACAUGGAUCAGAAGUGGACCUGUCAGGACACAGUUGUGUCUGAACACUACAUAGACAGUUGCCAACAGAAAUUUUAUGUUGUUAUUAUGAUGUUGUGUCUCUAUCAAUUUUUCAGUUAUCCUUUGUUUUAAGAUUUAGAAGGAUGUGAAGAACAACUUGAACGUCAAAGCCCUCAGUCACCGAUCAACUGCCAGCUGACAUCAUGGGAGCAGUGAACGUUCCAAGACUGAAUCGUGUUAGAGAAAUUCUGUAGAAGAUCUAAGAAAAGUGUAGAGACUCCAUCUAACUGUAUAUAAAGCAAAUUGUAGUUGUGUGUUUACUCUUUCAGCAAAUUGCUUUCACGCUUAGACUACAUAUAUACCAGAGCACGUGUGUUAAAAGUGGUUAGAUAAUGGUUUAAGAUAAAGAGUUUAGUUUGUGUAGUAAUUGCUAUGUUAGUAUAAAGUAUAAGUAUUCCCCCUUCAAGAGGUAGUGUAAGCAUCUUUGAAAGUUCAUUUAACGAUUGAAGUUUUAGCUGUGAGUUUGCAAAUAUGGUGUCAUUUAUAUGGUAAAAUGCUUAUGGUAAUUGUGUUGUGUAUAGUCGUGACCAACUGUCUGCUAACUAACAUCCAAAAGCGACAGAACAUAUGGGUCACUCUGGCACAUUGAACUGGCCAAAGGUCAAUGUGUCUAAGCUUAGCCACCCCUGGAGAUCCUUUUGCACCUGUCUCAUAGGAGUCCCGAAUGGGAUCCUCCAACAUUUAAAGGUUUAAUCAGUAAUGAGACUCAACUGAAUCGAUUGGCAAUGUUGCAAGAGUGCAGUUGCACUGUUGGCUUCACAUUAAGACAACUUGAAGCCUGUUGGCAAGCAAAAAUUACCAAAGUUCUCAAUGUUACAACCCUCAGAAGAAUUAGAUUUGUUAAGGUCCACCAAUACCUCAGGUGGAUGGAUAAUGUUUGAACCCCCGACAAAAAGUCAUUCUAACAAAGUAAUGUGGCACUGAGCUGCAGUCAGCCCUAUAGCUGAUCUCGUUACUACCAUUGAAAGUAAAGCCUUUGUUCGUGGUGCAAUCUCACAAGACAAUUACCAAGGCGACUACCUAGUUCCAUAUUCCUAAUCUGUGGAGAUAGAGCAUGGAAUUAGAUUCCUGCUAGUCCACAUAGAAGACCCUGUUAUCUUGGGAGAUUUACUUUGUUCCACCCAAGCUUACACCGAUUGUUGAAUACAGCUAGCAAAAUGAAGAACAUCAAACAGUCAAAGCGAAGCCUGAAUGAAUUAAAACUUAGCAACUCUAAAAAGGCUCACUUGCUGGACUAGGAAAGAAUUAAACUUAACCUCCACAAUGUUAAGUGAGCUUUCAGGCGAUGUGAGUAGUGUAUGUCAUGCAGUAUUAUGAAAUCAAGCUGCAAUUGACUUUUUGCUCUUAGCACAAGGACAUGGUUGUGAGGAGUUUGAAGGCAUGUGCUGCUUGGAUCUUACUGAGCAUUCAGCUUCCAUCCAUAAACAACUAUAACAGCUACAGGAUGGGUUACAUGCCCUGAAAGAAGAUAGUGAUCCCAUCGGAGGUUGGUUCGCCAGCUGCGGCAUCACUGGAUGGUUGAGGUCUCUUGUGCUAGAAGGGGGAUGGACUUUACUUACAAUGUUAAUCAGGAUGACAGUCUAGGUUGUAUGUUAUCUUAUCCAAAGCCUGGUUUGUGCAAAAAGAGAAAGGGGGAAUUGUUGAUAUAUUUUAUAUAUUAGUAAAGGCCUGUAUGCACAAACCAGCCUUCGACAUAAGUCGUGAUAUUAAAGGCUAAAGUCCUUGAAACCUUCAUGCAGAAGACAGAGUAAAGUAAAACAAUAUCCUUGUGUGUAGGAGAAAAAAUGUAAACUGUGUGUGUUAGCCUGUGUGUAAACUGUGUGUGUGUAUCUUGCUCUGCCCGCAGACCCUGUAGAACCCUAUAAAAGGUGUGCUAAAGAUAGAAAUAAACAGCAUUCACAAUUA